CCAGCAACUUGGAAGAACGUAAGGCGCAAUCCCGCGUCGUUGUGAUAAAUUAUCAUAGAAGUAACUCUGUUACAUUAAGUUCUAGGUAAAUAUUUGAUAAUGACAAAAUUUAUCUAUAAGUCUUGACUAAUUCUCGUGCCAGCAGUUGCGGUAAGACGAGUAAGACAAGUGUUAUUCAUCUUUAUUUGGUUUAAAGGGUACUCAGACAGUUAAUUAAGCCUGUAUUUAAGAGGGAACUGGUUAAACUAGAGUUUAAUAGGAUAAGGCUAGAACGGUGAGUGUAGAGAUAAAAUACGUUGAUACCACUUAGAUGCUGGCAACGGCGAAAGCAACCUUUUAUGUAAAAACUGACGUUAAAGGACGAAGGCCCAAGUUAAGUAACAGGAUUAGAUACCCCAGUACUAAGGGCAGACAAUGAUGAGUGUCAUAGGUAAGUAAAAUAAUAUUUAUUAAAUUAU
RNAcentral lists this ribosomal RNA (458 nucleotides) under Porina dolichophora. RNAcentral describes it as "mitochondrial SSU rRNA". It matches the Rfam family "Bacterial small subunit ribosomal RNA", at positions 366 to 848 of the family's 1533-position model. Lineage: Eukaryota; Fungi; Ascomycota; Lecanoromycetes; Ostropales; Porinaceae. The record is from RNAcentral.